UCCGUCGACUUUAAAAGUCGUGAGGGUUCAAGUCCCUCUAUCCCCAA
This 47-nucleotide transfer RNA is filed under the name Leucophyllum laevigatum. RNAcentral describes it as "partial tRNA-Leu". The record is from RNAcentral. Lineage: Eukaryota; Viridiplantae; Streptophyta; Magnoliopsida; Lamiales; Scrophulariaceae.